AUUGAACGCUGGCGGUAUGCUUAACACAUGCAAGUCGAACGAUGAGAAAGAGCUUGCUCUUUCGAUUAGUGGCGGACGGGUGCGUAACGCAUAGGAAUCUACCUAUUAGUGGGGGACAACUUAGGGAAACUUAAGCUAAUACCGCAUACGCCCUACGGGGGAAAGAAGGGGAUCGCAAGACCUUUUGCUAAUAGAUGAGCCUGCGUAGGAUUAGCUAGUUGGUGGGGUAAAAGCUCACCAAGGUGACGAUCCUUAACUGUUUUGAGAGAAUGAUCAGUCACACUGGAACUGAGACACGGUCCAGACUCCUACGGGAGGCAGCAGUGGGGAAUAUUGGACAAUGGGCGAAAGCCUGAUCCAGCAAUACCGCGUGUGUGAAGAAGGCCUUAGGGUUGUAAAGCACUUUCAAUUGGAAGGAAAACCUCGAAGCUAAUACCUUCGAGUUUGACAUUACCUUUAGAAGAAGCACCGGCUAACUCCGUGCCAGCAGCCGCCGUAA
This 499-nucleotide ribosomal RNA is filed under the name uncultured bacterium. Its description in RNAcentral is "partial 16S ribosomal RNA". It matches the Rfam family "Bacterial small subunit ribosomal RNA", at positions 30 to 523 of the family's 1533-position model. The record is from RNAcentral.